Molecule: ribosomal RNA, 867 nt
Filed under: uncultured Neocallimastigales
Lineage: Eukaryota; Fungi; Neocallimastigomycota; Neocallimastigomycetes; Neocallimastigales
Description: partial large subunit ribosomal RNA
Rfam family: Eukaryotic large subunit ribosomal RNA
Source: RNAcentral
CGAGCACGCGCGUGUGGCAUAUCAAUAAGCGGAGGAAAAGAAACUAACUAGGAUUCCCUUAGUAACGGCGAGUGAAGCGGGAAGAGCUCAAAUUUGAAAUCUUCAAGGUUCUACCUUGACGAAUUGUAGUUUAUAGAAGUGUUUUCUGUAGUGGAGUUUGGUAAAAGGUUCUUUGGAAUAGGACAUCAUAGAGGGUGAGAAUCCCGUAUUUGGACCAUUAUUUCCUAGCUGUGUGAUGACACUUUCAAAGAGUCGGAUUGUUUGGGAAUGCAGUCCAAAAUGGGUGGUAAAUUUCAUCUAAAGCUAAAUAUUGGCGAGAGACCGAUAGCGAACAAGUACCGUGAGGGAAAGAUGAAAAGAACUUUGAAAAGAGAGUUAAACAGUACGUGAAAUUGUCAAAAGGGAAGCGUUUGACACCAGUGUUGUUCUUCCGAAAAUCAAUUAAAAAUUGAUUCAUGCUAAGUUGUAUUGACUUCAUCGGCUUUCUGCUUAGUUUUGGGUCUCUUUUUGAUGCACUUUUCGGUUAACAAGUCAACAUCAAUUUCUUUUGUUGUAAAAGGGUAUGAGGAAGGUGGCUUUCUUCUCGGAGAAAGUGUUUAUAGCCUUGUGCCUCUGCAAUCGGAGAGAUUGAGGUCUGCAGCGUAGAUCCUUCGGGGUUAGAUACGUUUGUGCUAAGUUAUAGCUUUUCAUAGACAACUUGUUGACUACGUUUAGUCUUGUAGCUUACUCGCUGACGCUAUUUUACCUACGCUUAGGAUGUUGAAGAUGUAGCACAUCAUACACGCAUGACACACUGCAUAUCAAUAAGCGGAGGAAAAGCAUAACAUGUAUACCUACGCUUAGGAUGUUGAAGAUGUAGCACAUCAU